UUGACCUCUGCAUGUUGUUAGACUGUGGAGUGCCCAGAGAAAACCCAUGGAUUCACAGAGAAAACAUGCAAACUCCAUGCAGAAAGAUCCCGGUAAGGCCAUGACGUGAACCGGGGAUCUUCUAGCUGCAAGGUGAAAGUGCUAACCACCAAGACACUGUGCAGCCCCUGUAAUAAUAAUAAUAAUUCCUUGCCAGGAAUCCCCCCUAAAUGCAUUGCAAUUUCUACCAAAUGACAGACAUUACCCACAUGUAAAUGUGUGCAACAGCUAAGGGAUCACAGCUGACUGCGUUAAACUUUAAUAAAGUGCUUUGUAGAGGAAUAGCCUCAUUCCAGACUCCUGAAUAUGCUCUGGAGUUCCAAAACAUCUGGUGCUCUGCUCUUUGACACUUGUUUCUGUUGGUUGAGGAAACAAUUGGCUAUCCAGAAUUUUGAAGGACAGUAGGAAAUGGGACGCAUUUGGAAAAAAUUCAAAGUCAUCCUCGUGGUGGUAAAAAUUUGUCAGCGCAGGGUUUUUUUAAACAGCUGUUAAGAAAGUUGUCUUGUGAACAAAUAGAGUUGUACACUUGUGAUACUGUUUAAAGCUUUGGUUGUGCAGCUCCAACAGUAACAUUGCUUUUGCAAAUACAAGAGAAAGAAUAAAUAUGCGUAACUCCAACUAUGAUGCCACUUGUUAGCUGACAGUCCUCAGGGAACACUGUAACUUGUUCAUUUGCAGAGAAGGACACCUACUCUGCAUGUGUUUGUGAUAUCAGUGUGACAGGUGAAACAGCCCAUAAGGUACGUGACCAUGGAACACUGGUGCAUGUGGGAGGAUUCGAAUCAUUAAAGACUUCAUCAUGCUGUGCUUUACCUCAAAAUGGAGACUGCAGUCGAAGUGCAUAUGAGGUUGAUACAACAGCUUCCAACCUUGGAGGAAGAACCUGAUGGCAUGUGGCAGAUAUGAUCAGUCUGAGUCAGUCAUGGUGAAAGACUUUGCCGUGGCAGAGACUAACUGGUCGACUGUGGGCUCUGAAAAACCAAGGACCAAAGGCUCCAUUUUCAAUGCAACAAGCUGUUUCUCGUUGCUAAUACAUGUAGUUUGUAUUGCAUCAUUCCUUUAGUAAAUGCUAUUUUAAUAUUUC
Amphiprion ocellaris (clown anemonefish) is the source of this 1123-nucleotide long non-coding RNA. RefSeq lists it as uncharacterized. The record is from RefSeq and is a predicted model, not a curated record. The transcript is spliced from 2 exons. NCBI's taxonomy places the organism in Eukaryota, Metazoa, Chordata, Actinopteri, Pomacentridae.